UGUCCUGCAAAACAUUAAGAAAUCAUUUAAUAAAAUAAGUUUGUAUUUAUUGCUGAAUGAGCUAUUUUUAUGAAAUAGUAUAAGUAACAAUAUUAUUUUCAUUGGGUAUUAGUAGUGCUGACAUCAAAACUGAAUUUUGAAGCUCAAGUGAAGGAUAACUCUGAGAAGGCGAGGCGAAUCUGAGGUUGAACUUGGCAUGGAGAGGCAUUUUUAAUAAUGCUAAGGUAGACUUUCCAGCUAAAUGUAAAUGGUUUAAAGCUUGCGAAAGGGCUGUACUGUGUCACGGAGCUCAGGUAUGGGAUUACAGGCAUAUUACAAUGUAAGUUACUAGAUGUUUGUAAUUUGUUUAAGUUCCUUUUAUUUGUAUUCCUUAAUCUGAGUUGUUACUAUCGCAUUAGGUAUGAUUUUCAUGGGAGAACAUUGUGUUGGUAAUUUUAUUUGAUAAAUAUAUAUGAGCUUUUGUUCGGAAUUAAUAAAAUUUGAUUUUUAGAUAAUAAUUUGUUCUACGCAUUUGUAAGAUUUGUGUUUGACUGAAAAAAAAA
Nilaparvata lugens (brown planthopper) is the source of this 542-nucleotide long non-coding RNA. RefSeq lists it as uncharacterized. The transcript has 2 exons. The record is from RefSeq and is a predicted model, not a curated record. Lineage: Eukaryota; Metazoa; Arthropoda; Insecta; Hemiptera; Delphacidae.